GCCAGGCACAGUGGUGCACGCCUGUAAUCCCAGCAGCUUGGGAGGCUGAGGCAGGAGGAUCAAGAGUUCAAAGCCAGCCUCAGCAAAGCAAGGUGCUAAGCAACUCAGCAAGACCCUGUCUCUA
This 124-nucleotide small RNA is filed under the name Marmota monax (woodchuck). Lineage: Eukaryota; Metazoa; Chordata; Mammalia; Rodentia; Sciuridae. The record is from RNAcentral.